Molecule: ribosomal RNA, 253 nt
Filed under: uncultured bacterium
Lineage: Bacteria
Description: partial 16S ribosomal RNA
Rfam family: Bacterial small subunit ribosomal RNA
Source: RNAcentral
GACAGAGGGUGCAAACGUUGCUCGGAAUCACUGGGCGUAAAGGGCGUGUAGGCGGGAAUGUAAGUCGGGCGUGAAAGCCCCAGGCUCAACCUGGGAACUGCACUCGAAACUGCGUUUCUUGAGUAUCGGAGAGGAAAGCGGAAUACCUGGUGUAGAGGUGAAAUUCGUAGAUAUCAGGUGGAACACCAGUGGCGAAGGCGGCUCACUGGCCCGAUACUGACGCUGAGGCACGAAAGCGUGGGGAGCAAACAGG